Molecule: long non-coding RNA, 1018 nt
Organism: Hippocampus zosterae (dwarf seahorse)
Lineage: Eukaryota; Metazoa; Chordata; Actinopteri; Syngnathiformes; Syngnathidae
Exons: 3
Source: RefSeq, a predicted model, not a curated record
GGCACCCCCUUUUACUUCAGUUGAAACUUUGGGGCCGGCUUCACUUUUAUUGAUACAUUAAAUAUAUGAAAGGGGGUUCUAGAAAAGGGGGUGUAGCUCAGUGGCAGAGCAUUUGACUGCAGAUCAAGAGGUCCCCAGUUCAAGUCUGGGUGCCCCCUUCUAUUUGAGUUGAAACCUUGGGGCCAACUUCACUUUCAUUGAUACAUUAAAUAUAUGGAAGGGGGCUCUAGAAAAGGGGGGUGUAGCUCAGUGGCAGAGCAUUUGACUGCAGAUCAAGAGGUCCCCAGUUCAAGUCUGGGUGCCCCCUUCUAUUUGAGUUGAAACUUUGGGGCUGGCUUCACUUUCAUUGAUACAUUAAAUAUAUGGAAGGGGGUUCUAGAAAAGGGGGUGUAGCUCAGUGGCAGAGCAUUUGACUGCAGAUCAAGAUGUCCCCAGUUCAAGUCUGGGUACCCCCUUUCAGUUGAGUUGAAACUUUGGGGCUAACUUCACUUUCAUUGAUACAUUAAAUAUAUGGAAGGGGGUUCUAGAAAAGGGGGUGUAGCUCAGUGGCAGAGCAUUUGACUGCAGAUCAAGAGGUCCCCAGUUCAAGUCUGGGUGCCCCCUUUCAGUUGAGUUGAAACUUUGGGGCUUGCUUCACUUUCAUUGAUACAUUAAAUAUAUGGAAGGGGGCUCUAGAAAAGGGGGUUGUAGCUCAGUGGCAGAGAAUUUGACUGCAGAUCAAGAGGUCCCCAGUUCAAGUCUGGGUGCCCCCUUUCAGUUGAGUUGAAACUUUGGGCCUGGCUUCACUUUCAUUGAUACACUAAAUAUAUGAAAGGGGGUUCUAGAAAAGGGGGUUGUAUCUCAGUGACAGAGCAUUUGACUGCAGAUCAAGAGGUCCCCAGUUCAAAUCUGGGUGCACCCUUUUAGUUCAGUUGAAACUUUGGGGCCGGCUUCACUUUUAUUGAUACAUUAAAUAUAUGAAAGCGGGUUCUAGAAAAGGGGAGUGUAGCUCAGUGGCAGAGCAUUUGACUGCAGAUCA